UAGAAUAUUACGUUGAGUUUAGAUAUAUACAAUUAAAUGAAAGAGAAGACAGAUAAUAAUUUUUGGUCAAAUUAAUUACCUCACUGUAAAGUAUCAAAAAUUCCUCUAUUUAUCAUGGAUAUCAAAUAAAAAUUUCUAACAAAAUUUAUGAGCUUUAACUCUUGUCUUUAAUUUUUAAUUAUUUAAAUAUUGUUUAAAAUAUCUCCUUGUCAUCUGAUCUUAGAACUAGUGGUCUUACAAUGAGCAAAGAUAUUACUUAAUUAUAUUUCUUAGUGAAAUUUUAGAAUGAACAAUUUCUUGCAGAGCAAACAUUUUUAAAGAUCAAAACAAAACUAUUUAUUUUUACUUACUCCUUUUAGAAAUUUUUAACACUGUCUUGACCAUUUCUAGCAUGUACAAAUAUUGGCAGCCCUUAAUUUGAUUAAUCUUCAGUUUUCUAAGAAAUAGGAAUAUAAGAUAGAAAUAGAAAGAAGAAUAAAGGUGAUAUAGAGAUAUAGAUAUGGAGGGAAAGGGGGAAAAGCAUGACAGAGAGAGAGAGUGGGAAUAAAAGGGAAGGAAAGUGGAAGUGGGAGAAGGAGAAAGGAACAAUCAAUUACAGCUAGGUUAAACAAUGUCCCAGGGCCUUGACAAUUUUAUCAAACCACAAGAUUAAAAAGUCAUUCUUUAUUCACCUAGAAAGUGUAGAACCUGAAGUAAGAGAAAUUCUCAUAACAAACAGUCUUUUAGGUGGACAACUAUCUCCCCAUGAAAGUUCGUUUCUUUCUUUUUGUUUUUUUUUGGUCUAAGGUAUGAUAAUUGUUAAUGUCAAAAGUGUCCUCAAAGUGGUCAGAUCAUAAUGGCUCUUCAUUUUUCUUGGUGAUAUUGUACCCAAGGUAAAAUAUUUCAUACCAUUAUUUCCGUGACAAGUGAGGAUAUGUAAAACUAGAUAGGUGGAGUUUUUAACAACCAUCAGGUGAAUCUGGUAUGCUUCUCAUUUUUUUUCUUUGUCUACAAUUGAAGUAUUUUCUAACCACAGAUUUAUGGCACAGCUCAUUUCUCGUGCUUUAAAAAUACCAAGGAAAAUCACACUAGGAAUGUCUCGCCUACAUUUCAAGCUACAUAAUUUCUUUUAUCCUUUGUUUUCCUUUCUAUAUUAAGCAUAAUUAUGGAAAAUAAGAUUUUUGUCGUGUCAAAAUGAUAUGUUUAGAGAAGAAUUAGAGUAUCUCUUAAAACAGUCUUUGAUCCUUUUGUUGUUCCUCUCACUUCACACUUGUUAUACUCAAAGAAACAUAAUUAUGUAUUAUAAUUUAGGGAAAAUUACCCCGUGCAAGUCUAUAUUCUAUAAAUUUAAUUCCAGAAAACUGAUUAAGACUUAAUUAUGGAUUAAAAUGUGUGUCAUAAUAAGAAUUAUAAUUACAAUGAUAUCUAACAUAUAUUUUGUAUUCACUAUGUUUCCAGCACUUUACUAAGUGAUUUACAUAUAUAAAUAUCUUUGAUCUUCACAAAAACUAUAUGAGUUAGGUGUUCCCAGGCAUUA
RNAcentral lists this long non-coding RNA (1516 nucleotides) under Homo sapiens (human). RNAcentral describes it as "HSALNT0057887". The record is from RNAcentral. Lineage: Eukaryota; Metazoa; Chordata; Mammalia; Primates; Hominidae.